This is a long non-coding RNA of Odocoileus virginianus texanus, 825 nucleotides long. RefSeq lists it as uncharacterized. NCBI's taxonomy places the organism in Eukaryota, Metazoa, Chordata, Mammalia, Artiodactyla, Cervidae. The record is from RefSeq and is a predicted model, not a curated record.
CUGCCUCAGCCAGAUGAGCGUUCCAUGUGGAAUCUUCUCUCAUUAUUUAAAACUGCUACUUUGUGUUCUGAAAUUCCAGAACCCUUCCAAUGCACCACCACUCUGGCCUGAAACACAAAGACUCAGAAAAGACAGCGAGACAUUAAUCUGUAUCAUAUUCUCUCUCUCCCUCUCUCUCCUAUCCAUCAUCUACAUACAUGUUUUUUAAUACAUCCCAAGCUUCUUUUUCAUCUGUCUAUGCAGGCAAUAGACAUCAUCCGGAAAUGCCUGGCUGUGGUCACAGCUCCAGAUCUACUUACUAAGAUGCUAACCAAGACCUAUGAUGCUCAUAGACUAGCAUCAAGGCGUAGGGACUUGGUCAUGCAGCAGUGAGACAGAGGGAUUCCUUUCAGAGACACUGCAAUGGGGCCACUUAACACAGCAGAAAUAACAUUGGCUUUGGAGUCCGCUAGACUUGAGUUGGCAUUUCAGCUUUGUCACUUCCAGGCUGUGUGACUGCAGGUUGGAAGAGCCUUCACCCAUGAGGAGUACUGAAUAAAUAGACUUUCACCAUCAUUCUCCAAAGAGGUUGGGAAGGAACCACUCAUGAGGAAAGCCUGGAGGGGACAAAUUGUCAGAAUGAAGUAUGGUCCUUUGUUCAGAAUCAGAAGAGUUACCCACUCAAAUCAUAAAAUACCAGAUGAAGCUCACUUGACUAAACAGGGGUGAGCAAAUGGAAAGAAGGAAGACAUGGUGACACUGAAAAGGCCCAAGAUGUAAUCUUUCCAGGUUAAAAGAAGGCAAGUUCAUUUGGGAUCUCAGAGGUCAUACUUUUGCUAAAGCUUG